Molecule: unclassified non-coding RNA, 159 nt
Filed under: Scolecobasidium icarus
Lineage: Eukaryota; Fungi; Ascomycota; Dothideomycetes; Venturiales; Sympoventuriaceae
Description: partial internal transcribed spacer 2
Source: RNAcentral
CAAACUCCAAGCGUGGCUUGAUGUUGGCCGACGUUCCGAGAGGGACGCGGCUGGAACGCGUUGGCGCCGCCGCCGGACCACGAGCGUAGCAAGACGAGAGUCGCAUCGCAUCGUUGGGGUCGGACGGACGGCCGCGGCAAGAGCAUUUAUGCAGCACAA